AACUAACGCUAGUGGUAUGCCUCAAACAUGCAAGUCGAACGAGAAAGCAUCUUCGGAUGCGAGUACAGUGGCGCACGGGUGAGUAACACGUAACUAACGUCCCCUUUCGCUGUGGACAACUCCGGGAAACCGGAGCUAAUACAGAAUGAUCUUUUACUAUCUGCGGAUAGUUUUGGUAAAGCUUUCGGGCGCGAAAGGAUCGGGUUGCGGCUUAUUAGUUUGUUGGUGGGGUAAUGGCCUACCAAGACUACGAUAGGUAGCUGGUCUGAGAGGAUGAUCAGCCACACUGGAACUGAAACACGGUCCAGACACCCACGGGUGGCAGCAGUUGGGAAUCUUGGACAAUGGGAGAAAUCCUGAUCCAGCAAUACCACGUGAGUGAUGAAGGCUCUCGGGUCGUAAAGCUCUUUCAGCGGGGAAGAAGGGAAACUUGACGGUACCCGCAAAAGAAGCACCGGCUAACUCCG
This 467-nucleotide ribosomal RNA is filed under the name uncultured Pseudomonadota bacterium. RNAcentral's name for it is "bacterial SSU rRNA". It matches the Rfam family "Bacterial small subunit ribosomal RNA", at positions 29 to 505 of the family's 1533-position model. The record is from RNAcentral. Lineage: Bacteria; Pseudomonadati; Pseudomonadota.